This 48-nucleotide ribosomal RNA is filed under the name Amylocorticium subsulphureum. Its description in RNAcentral is "partial 28S large subunit ribosomal RNA". Lineage: Eukaryota; Fungi; Basidiomycota; Agaricomycetes; Amylocorticiales; Amylocorticiaceae. The record is from RNAcentral.
UGACCUCAGAUCAGGUAGGAUUACCCGCUGAACUUAAGCAUAUCAAUA